Molecule: ribosomal RNA, 459 nt
Filed under: uncultured bacterium
Lineage: Bacteria
Description: partial 16S ribosomal RNA
Rfam family: Bacterial small subunit ribosomal RNA
Source: RNAcentral
CCUACUGGGGGCAGCAGUGAGGAAUAUUGGUCAAUGGUCGAGAGGCUGAACCAGCCAAGUCGCGUGAGGGAAGACGGCCCUACGGGUUGUAAACCUCUUUUGUCCGGGAGUAAAGUGAAUCACGUGUGGUUUUUUGUGAGUACCCGAUGAAAAAGGAUCGGCUAAGUCCGUACCAGCAGCCGCGGUAAUACGGAGGAUGCGAGCGUUAUCCGGAUUUAUUGGGUUUAAAGGGUGCGCAGGCGGAGGUGCAAGCCUGCGGUCAAAUUACGGGGCUCAACCCUGUACUGCGGUUGGAACUGGAUCCCUUGAGUGCGCGAAAAGUAUGCGGAAUUCGUGGUGUAGCGGUGAAAUGCAUAGAUAUCACGCAGAACUCCGAUUGCGAAGGCAGCAUACGGCCGCGCAACUGACGCUGAUGCACGAAGGCGUGGGUAUCGAACAGGAUUAGAUACCCGAGUAGUC